GGUUAAGUGAAUAAGGGCGCACGGUGGAUGCCUUGGCACUAGGAGCCGAUGAAGGACGGGACUAACACCGAUAUGCUUUGGGGAGCUGUACGUAAGCUAUGAUCCAGAGAUUUCCGAAUGGGGGAACCCAGCAUCUUUAAUAGGAUGUUACGAUUGUGUGAAUACAUAGCACAUUCGAGGUAGACGCAGAGAACUGAAACAUCUAAGUACCUGCAGGAAGAGAAAGAAAAUUCGAUUCCCUGAGUAGCGGCGAGCGAAACGGGAAAAGCCCAAACCAACAAGCUUGCUUGUUGGGGUUGUAGGACUCCAAUAUGGUCGUUCUUUCAGAUAGUCGAAUGACUUGGAAAAGUCAGUCAAAGAGGGUAAAAACCCCGUAGACGAAAUGUGGAAGACACCUAGGAGGAUCCUGAGUACGGCGGAACACGAGAAAUUCCGUCGGAAUCCGGGAGGACCAUCUCCCAAGGCUAAAUACUCCCUAGUGACCGAUAGUGAACCAGUACCGUGAGGGAAAGGUGAAAAGCACCCCGGAAGGGGAGUGAAAUAGAACCUGAAACCGUGUGCCUACAACAAGUCAAAGCCCGUUAAUGGGUGAUGGCGUGCCUUUUGUAGAAUGAACCGGCGAGUUACGAUUGCAUGCGAGGUUAAGUUGAAGAGACGGAGCCGCAGCGAAAGCGAGUCUGAAUAGGGCGUUUGAGUAUGUAGUCGUAGACCCGAAACCAUGUGAUCUACCCAUGUCCAGGUUGAAGGUGCGGUAAAACGCACUGGAGGACCGAACCCACGUACGUUGAAAAGUGCGGGGAUGAGGUGUGGGUAGCGGAGAAAUUCCAAACGAACUUGGAGAUAGCUGGUUCUCUCCGAAAUAGCUUUAGGGCUAGCCUCGGAAUUGAGAAUGAUGGAGGUAGAGCACUGUUUGGACUAGGGGCCCAUCUCGGGUUACCGAAUUCAGAUAAACUCCGAAUGCCAUUCAUU
Molecule: ribosomal RNA, 969 nt
Filed under: Enterococcus faecium
Lineage: Bacteria; Bacillati; Bacillota; Bacilli; Lactobacillales; Enterococcaceae
Also listed under: 1 other name
Description: partial 23S ribosomal RNA
Rfam family: Bacterial large subunit ribosomal RNA
Source: RNAcentral